RNAcentral lists this ribosomal RNA (432 nucleotides) under uncultured bacterium. RNAcentral's name for it is "bacterial SSU rRNA". It matches the Rfam family "Bacterial small subunit ribosomal RNA", at positions 917 to 1350 of the family's 1533-position model. The record is from RNAcentral.
GGGCCCGCACAAGCGGUGGAGUAUGUGGUUUAAUUCGAUGCAACGCGAAGAACCUUACCAGGGUUUGACAUCCUGCGAAUCUCUUGGAAACAGGAGAGUGCCUUCGGGAACGCAGUGACAGGUGGUGCAUGGCUGUCGUCAGCUCGUGUCGUGAGAUGUUGGGUUAAGUCCCGCAACGAGCGCAACCCUCGCCCUUAGUUGCCAUCAUUCAGUUGGGCACUCUAGGGGGACUGCCGGUGAUAAGCCGAGAGGAAGGUGGGGAUGACGUCAAGUCCUCAUGGCCCUUACGGGCUGGGCUACACACGUGCUACAAUGGCGGUGACAGUGGGCAGCGACUCCGCGAGGAGGAGCCAAUCCCCAAAAACCGUCUCAGUUCGGAUUGCACUCUGCAACUCGGGUGCAUGAAGGUGGAAUCGCUAGUAAUCGUGGAUC